RNAcentral lists this unclassified non-coding RNA (3246 nucleotides) under Leishmania donovani. RNAcentral's name for it is "gene:LdHU3.32.2810(CDS-product:hypothetical_prote in_conserved)". Lineage: Eukaryota; Euglenozoa; Kinetoplastea; Trypanosomatida; Trypanosomatidae. The record is from RNAcentral.
UGCCCUCGCACAGCUCUCUGUCUCGGCUUCAUUCGCGAACGACCGAGUUUUUGCAAACACGCGUUGCGUUGAGACGGCGCAUUCCGGGGACGGGCCGAACCGGUAUUGCGCCUCUCAAAGAUUUGGGCACUCGGGCUUUGCGUCUUUCUUUUCAUGGCCUCCUUUUCUCUACACGGGUGAAACACUACCACAACGACUGCCUCGCUGUCAAAGCGCGAUCACCACCACCACCACCACCACCACCACCACCACCACCACCACCACCACCACCACCACCACCAUCUGCACACCGCCGACACGAUCGGCACAGCUCGGUUCUCUUCUCUCUCCACACACUCUUGCUCGCGCUACUGCACUCUGCUGCUGCUCCUUCCUUUCCCAUAACUUCUCAACACGAGCAGCUACUGCUACGGCAGCGUGCACGUACGCAAAAGCUCGUCCUUCUCCGCAAACUGUGUUGCUUCACCGCGCAGACACAGCCACAAGUGUGCAGACAGGCAUUGUCCACCUGUCUCUGUUGUUCCCUUCCUCACAGCACACGUGAACCACCGGGGAUAUCAUAUACGCUCAAGCGCAUUGAAAUGCGCGUCCGAUUUGUGGACUCAUCUGACGACGGGGCCUCACAUGAGGCGGCGAUGGAUGUCGGGUCCACACACGGCGAUGGCGCAGACUCCACUGAGAGCUCCACGCGCGGCGUGGUGUCAGCCGGCGCCUCUCGCCAGCCGUACGCCGGUGGCGAAGAGGCUGACAACAAGGACACGAAUCGUCAUCAGGGUAGUAGACGUGGCGCUGGGUGGCUAUCUUCAAUGUUAUACAAGGGUGUCAACGCUGCGUCUGGUCUGUUUUUAGAGCCCAGAAAUGGCUCGCCGCACGAGCCUGGCGGCGACGCGUCCUUCAACGCUCAGCUGACACUCACCGGCCCUAAUCGCAGCAGCGGCGUAGCUGCUGGUAGUAACAUCCCAGAUAGGAUCAGCAGCAGCAGCAGCAGCGGUGGCUGGGAGUUUGACAGGUCUGAGCACCGCAGCCCCAUUGAGGUGGCCCCGUCCACUGAAUCGGCAAGCUCCGUGGAAGGCAAUGAUGUGCAAGAGGAUAGCGAUCCCGAUCAGGUGAACCUAAACCUGAAAGACACGUUGCUGCUGUUUAUGCAGACCGGCUCUGACGUGUUCAUGAACAUUAUCCUCGCAACCCUGAAGGCCAGCAACGAGCUCGUAGACGGCGAGAUCUUCGAAUUAGUGAGUGGGAGCCCGGCACUGCUGAAAGUUUUCCUUGACUCUGGCCGCGUCGACAUUGACGAUCCUCGUGUGCAGUCUGUGGUGCAGGCAAAGCUUGACGAGGUGCUUGCCGGCGAUCCCUACGACGGCGACGUCGUGUCUGGCGAUCUGCUCAACUACGUCCGGUCUCUGUGCAGCAUCCGCACAAGCCGCAUCACCUUUCAGCAGAUGGUGCUCCUGCGCUACUCCGGUUUCGACUACGUGGAGCUGCUCAUCGACUACCCGUAUCUGCUCGAAAAUUUGGAGAAACCCAGCUUCUGCAUAUUCUUUGUCUUCGACGUGCUGCACUACAUCAGCAUCGCGAUUAGCUGGAUUGGCGUGCUGGUGACGUUGACGUUCACCGCCAUGGUACUGUGGUCGGUGGUGUUUUGGUUCCAGCAGCCCGAGCACCGCAACAACGGCUACUGGAUCAUCAUCACAUACGUUGGCGGCUACGUGGUGAGUCUUGUCGCCACCAUGCGGGCGGAGGAAGGCAAGAUCAAGCGCUAUGAGAAUCAAGUGUGGCGCUACCCGGACAACCUCUUUCGGAUUGUACCCAUCAUCCCUGUGUACGAGAUCAUGCUUAGCUACGUGUUGCUGCGGUACGAGAUUUCGGCCAACGCGAAGAGUUUUUUCAUUAUCCGGUACGAUCUGCGCAACGGCACUCUUGUCCAGCACAUUACCAACGGCUGCUUUUACGCCCUGCCGCAAAUGAUUCUGCAGACAUUCCUCUUCAUCAGCGAUAUUCGCCGAAACCAUCGCUACCUUCAUGGCGCGUGUUACUGGCUACUCUUGGGCUGCUCGCUGACGUUGAUAACCAUGUCAAUCUUCGCCUACCACCGCAUUGCCUUCUUCACGCACUCGUGCAACGGCUGCGGGUUUGCGGUUCUAUCGAGCCAAAGCAUCAGCGCCAAAGACCACACGCGCGUGCUUGCCCGCCGCGUCCAUCCAUCUGACAUCGUCACGAAGGUGUUUGUCUUCUUCACCAUAUACUUUUUCGUUGCCCAGACGGUGACCCUUGUCGUGCUUAUACUCAACCUGCACUCCUGCGCGGGAACCGCGAUUAUCUUCCCCGCCAUCUACAUGUCCGUCCUCGGCCUCUCUAUCAUUGUAAUCGUGGUUGUGUGCGUCAACUUGCCCUUCUCGCGAGGCAUGGGUGCCAUCGGUAUCCCCGUGAUGCUCAUGCAAAUCGCCUUUCUCGUGUACGUUAACGUGGGUGCGGCAAGCCGAGAGUGCGUCAUCUUCAAACCCUCCUUCAGCAAGUGGAUGAUACCAAGCAUCGCAAUCUUCGGGUUGAUGUGCCUAUCCAUCGUAGCCUGGUUAACGAUGUUGUUGGUCGAGUUCUUUCGCGGAGUGCGCAUUACGCAGCGGGCUGUCGAUCACUACGUCCUGGCAUAGCACUGCAUCACCAGCUCCCCCUCCUACCCACACCGGAUCAUCGCCUCUUAGCUUUCUUGCACAGAAGCGGACGGCGCUGUUGUCGCUUCGUCAAUGACCGCUUUUUCUCUUGGUGCUUCUUUCUUCAGUGUCGUUGUUGCUAUCUUUUCACGUUGGUCGGUGCACACCGUACACAUCUGCACGUGAAACCACGCAGAUUCACGUGAAUCACCACUGCCCAGCCCAACUGCCGCUUGCGUGUACUUUGGCAUGCGUCCCUUUCGUUUUCGUGUUUCUCUCUCUCGCACUGCAAACCAAGUCGACGCGGCACAGCAGGAGGUGGGGUGGGGAGAGGCAAGUGAAUGCUUUUUCUUCGAUGAUGUUCAACGUGCCCACUUUGCUGUACCACAUGAGUCACUCUCCAGUCUACCCCUGGCCCGUCACAAGCACCGCAUCGCCUGGUGCGAAGCAGCGUGAGACACACGUGCUACAGCAAUGCGCCGACUCAGCCAUCUGAGCAUGGCCUCUGCCUCAAACUCUACCCACCACGGCCGCCUCGCAGGCCGACUCGCAGGCCGCUCCCCCAUCAUGCCGGUCGCCGCACGGUGUGUGUCCACCA